Molecule: ribosomal RNA, 253 nt
Filed under: uncultured bacterium
Lineage: Bacteria
Description: partial 16S ribosomal RNA
Rfam family: Bacterial small subunit ribosomal RNA
Source: RNAcentral
UACAGAGGGGGCAAGCGUUGUUCGGAAUUACUGGGCGUAAAGGGCGCGUAGGCGGCCUGUUAAGUCGGACGUGAAAUCCCUCGGCUCAACCGGGGAACUGCGUCCGAUACUGGCGGGCUUGAAUUCGGGAGAGGGAUGUGGAAUUCCAGGUGUAGCGGUGAAAUGCGUAGAUAUCAGGAGGAACACCGGUGGCGAAGGCGGAUCUCUGGGCCUUGCCUGACGCUGAGGCGCGAAAGCUAGGGGAGCGAACAGG